AAAAGAAAUGGUUUCUGGACAGAGGUGGCCACAUGAAAGGACAGGAGGGAGGCCUCCAGGAGCUAAAUGUGGCCCCCAGCUGAAGCCCAGCCUGCAACCACAAGGAACUGGAUUCUGCCAGCAACCUGAAUGCACUUAGAAGCGGUUUCUCUCUGGAGCCUCCUGAUAGGAGCCCAGCCAGCCAACACCUUGAUUUUGGCCUUGUGAGACCUAGAGCAGAGAAACCUUCUAAGCCAUUCGUGACUUCUGACCUUCAGGACUAUGAUGAUAAAUGUGUGUUAUUUUGAGCUGUUAAUUUGUGAUAAUUUGUUGUAGCAGCAGUUGAAAACUUGAAGCUUAGUCUGCAGAAAGUCUAAGGAUGGAUAAAAAUGAAUGAAGACCCUCAAAGCCGUGCCCCCACCUUAUUAUUCUCCUCUGGGUUCUCCUAACCCUAAUUCUAACCCUAUCUUCUUUUUUUUUUUUUAUACUUUAAGUUCUAGGGUAUGUGAUCACAACUUGCAGGUUUGUUACAUAUGUAUACACGUGCGAUGUUGGUGUGCUGCACCCAUUAACUCGUCAUUUACAUUAGGUAUAUCACCUAAUGCUAUCCCUCCCCUCUCCCCACCAACCCCACAAUAGGCCCCAGUGUGUGAUGUUCCCCUUCCUGUGUCCAAGUGUUCUCAUUGUUCAAUUCCCACCUAUAAGUGAGAACAUGCGGUGUUUGGUUUUUUGUCCUUGUGAUAGUUUGUUGAGAAUGAUGGUUUCCAGUUUCAUCCAUGUCCCUACAAAGGACAUGAACUCAUCCUUUUUUAUGGCUGCAUAGUAUUCCAUGGUGUAUAUGUGCCACAUUUUCUUAAUCCAGUCUAUCAUUGAUGGACAUUUGGGUUGAUUCCAAGUCUUUGCUGUUGUGAAUAGUGCUGCAAUAAACGUAUGUGUGCAUAUGUCUUUAUAGCAGCAUGAUUUAUAAUCCUUUGGGUAUAUACCCAGUAAUGGGAUUGCUGGGUCAAAUGAUAUUUCUAGUUCUAGAUCCUUGAGAAAUAGCCACACUGUCUUCCACAAUGGUUGAACUAGUUUAUAGACCCACCAACAGUGUAAAGGUGUUCCUAUUUCUCCACAUCCUCUCCAGCACCUGUUGUUUCCUGACUUUUUAAUGAUCGCCA
This 1139-nucleotide long non-coding RNA is filed under the name Homo sapiens (human). Its description in RNAcentral is "HSALNT0068626". Lineage: Eukaryota; Metazoa; Chordata; Mammalia; Primates; Hominidae. The record is from RNAcentral.